GUAAAUAUAGUUUAAAUAAAACAUUAGAUUGUGAGUCUAACAAUAGAGCUUAACAACUCUUAUUUACC
RNAcentral lists this transfer RNA (68 nucleotides) under Pteromys volans (Siberian flying squirrel). RNAcentral describes it as "tRNA-His". It matches the Rfam family "tRNA". Rfam says of the family: Transfer RNA (tRNA) molecules are approximately 80 nucleotides in length. Their secondary structure includes four short double-helical elements and three loops (D, anti-codon, and T loops). Further hydrogen bonds mediate the characteristic L-shaped molecular structure. tRNAs have two regions of fundamental functional importance: the anti-codon, which is responsible for specific mRNA codon recognition, and the 3' end, to which the tRNAs corresponding amino acid is attached (by aminoacyl-tRNA synthetases). tRNAs cope with the degeneracy of the genetic code in two manners: having more than one tRNA (with a specific anti-codon) for a particular amino acid; and 'wobble' base-pairing, i.e. permitting non-standard base-pairing at the 3rd anti-codon position. Lineage: Eukaryota; Metazoa; Chordata; Mammalia; Rodentia; Sciuridae. The record is from RNAcentral.